This is a long non-coding RNA of Cercocebus atys (sooty mangabey), 1161 nucleotides long. RefSeq lists it as uncharacterized. The transcript has 2 exons. The record is from RefSeq and is a predicted model, not a curated record. Lineage: Eukaryota; Metazoa; Chordata; Mammalia; Primates; Cercopithecidae.
UCGAACUCUUGACCUCAGGUGAUCCACCUGCCUCGGCCUCCCACAAGUGCUGGGAUUGCAGGCAUGGGCCACUGCGCAUGGCCUGGCUUCUUAUUUUAAUCCCAAAUUUUAUUCUUAAAUUGCCUUGUUAAUUUUUUUAUAGCCUAUGCAAGUUACUAGGAACAUAAUAAGCAGCAUACUUUUAUGCUUACUUUUAUUUUGAUUUUCUUAUUAAUUUCUAUAUUGGAUAUUCAUGAAUAUCUAGCAUUUUCAAGCUUGUUUUAGGCUAGGGUAGGAGAAGGAUUCUAGUAUUGGAAGAGGAACACCUUAGUGAUUUUUUUAGCUCACUUUGAGGUAUGUGAGCUCCAGAGAGGUUGAGAAACUUGUCUAGGGCCACAAAACUAGUGAAGGACAAAGCUGAGAAGAUUCUAGUCUAUAUCUUCUGCCUUCUAGACCAGUGGUCUCUCUCUUAUACAAAGGUGCUUUGCUGAUACAGUCAUAAGAGAAUCACAGAAAAUGAGAAUCAUCAGACGAUACACAGUGAGCGUUAGUUUAUCUAGUCCAGUGUAUUAGAAACAAUGGCUUCUGUCCUGUUUAGGAUUUUAGUGACAGUGGUUACAUCAAAGGAAACUUAAUUUCUUGAGACAUGAAGGCUCAUAAAAAUUCUUUAUACUUGAAUAUUUGCUACAAGUAGAAUAAUUUUAGCUUUCUAUUAAAACCACUAUAGGUAUAUUUGUUAGUUCUCUGCUUACAGCCCUAGCUUGGAAACUAGUAGAGGAUGGAUGUUAAGGCUUACUAGUAGAAGAAAAUGUUGGAGUAAAAAUAUAUGUGAGUGGGAGGAGCUAUUGACCCAUAAAAGUGUUAUCUUGAAAAGCUGCUGAAAGAUGGGGCUUGUUCUCAUCUCCUCAGUUGUUUGCCCCUACAAGUGCUGGCGUACUGCUGUAUUCAAUGUGUAUAACUUUAAAAACCGUUUCAGUUGUCUAAAAAGCAGUUGAAUCACCUUUUAUUUUGAAAUGGUAUUGAUUGCAUGUUUAAAUGAUAAUAUUUUGGAGAUACUGAAUUAAUUGUGUGUGUGUGUGUGUGUGUUUUCUGUGGUGAAAACACUUAUUUUACAAUAGUAAUCUUUAUUUUAGGUCAACAUUCAGACAUACAAGAAAUGUGUUGUUACAAUUAAAAUUUUUU